RNAcentral lists this transfer RNA (62 nucleotides) under Hyalella tiwanaku. RNAcentral's name for it is "tRNA-His". The record is from RNAcentral. Lineage: Eukaryota; Metazoa; Arthropoda; Malacostraca; Amphipoda; Hyalellidae.
GUUUUAAUAGUUUAAUCAAAACACUAUUUUGUGGAAAUAGAGAAAUAAUUUUAUUUAAGACA